AAUUUAACCUGGCAGGGGAAAUACCAUGAUCACCGAAGUGGUUUUCCUACUGGUUGGUAUUACCUUGACCAAGUUAGCCUCCCGCAUUCACUUCAAGUGGGAAGAUCUCACCUAUAUGCCAACUUUAUGGAAAUGGGAGACACCUCCCUAGUGUGCUCCUG
RNAcentral lists this small nuclear RNA (161 nucleotides) under Crocodylus porosus (Australian saltwater crocodile). RNAcentral describes it as "U1 spliceosomal RNA (ENSCPRG00005008921.1)". The record is from RNAcentral. Lineage: Eukaryota; Metazoa; Chordata; Crocodylia; Crocodylidae.